This 468-nucleotide ribosomal RNA is filed under the name uncultured bacterium. RNAcentral's name for it is "partial 16S ribosomal RNA". It matches the Rfam family "Bacterial small subunit ribosomal RNA", at positions 28 to 507 of the family's 1533-position model. The record is from RNAcentral.
GACGAACGCUGGCGGCGUGCUUAACACAUGCAAGUCGAACGGAAAGGCCCUGCUUUUGUGGGGUGCUCGAGUGGCGAACGGGUGAGUAACACGUGAGUAACCUGCCCUUGACUUUGGGAUAACUUCAGGAAACUGGGGCUAAUACCGGAUAGGAGCUCCUGCUGCAUGGUGGGGGUUGGAAAGUUUCGGCGGUUGGGGAUGGACUCGCGGCUUAUCAGCUUGUUGGUGGGGUAGUGGCUUACCAAGGCUUUGACGGGUAGCCGGCCUGAGAGGGUGACCGGCCACAUUGGGACUGAGAUACGGCCCAGACUCCUACGGGAGGCCGCAGUGGGGAAUCUUGCACCAUGGGCGGAAGCCUGAUGCAGCAACGCCGCGUGCGGGAUGACGGCCUUCGGGUUGUAAACCGCUUUCGCCUGUGACGAAGCGUGAGUGACGGUAAUGGGUAAAGAAGCACCGGCUAACUACGUG